GGAAGAUUAGCUCAGUUGGGAGAGCGUCGCCCUUACAAGGCGAAUGUCGUGGGUUCGAGUCCCUUAUCUUCCACCA
RNAcentral lists this transfer RNA (76 nucleotides) under Mycoplasmopsis cynos. Its description in RNAcentral is "tRNA-Val". It matches the Rfam family "tRNA". From Rfam's summary of the family: Transfer RNA (tRNA) molecules are approximately 80 nucleotides in length. Their secondary structure includes four short double-helical elements and three loops (D, anti-codon, and T loops). Further hydrogen bonds mediate the characteristic L-shaped molecular structure. tRNAs have two regions of fundamental functional importance: the anti-codon, which is responsible for specific mRNA codon recognition, and the 3' end, to which the tRNAs corresponding amino acid is attached (by aminoacyl-tRNA synthetases). tRNAs cope with the degeneracy of the genetic code in two manners: having more than one tRNA (with a specific anti-codon) for a particular amino acid; and 'wobble' base-pairing, i.e. permitting non-standard base-pairing at the 3rd anti-codon position. Lineage: Bacteria; Bacillati; Mycoplasmatota; Mycoplasmoidales; Metamycoplasmataceae. The record is from RNAcentral.